AACGCACAUUGCGCCCGCCAGCAUUCUGGCGGGCAUGCCUGUUCGAGCGUCAUUUCAACCCUCAGGCCCUGCCUGGUGUUGGAGGACUGCGCAUGCAGCCUCCCAAAGCAAGCGGCGGCGGCGCCCCAAAACCGAACGCAGUAGUUACUUCUCGUUCUGGGUCUGGGUCGUUGUCCUGCCGGAAAACCCCCAUCUUUUUAAUGGUUGACCUCGAAUCAGGUAGGAAUACCCGCUGAACUUAA
This 242-nucleotide unclassified non-coding RNA is filed under the name uncultured fungus. Its description in RNAcentral is "sequence contains ITS2". The record is from RNAcentral. Lineage: Eukaryota; Fungi.